RNAcentral lists this ribosomal RNA (468 nucleotides) under uncultured bacterium. Its description in RNAcentral is "partial 16S ribosomal RNA". It matches the Rfam family "Bacterial small subunit ribosomal RNA", at positions 28 to 507 of the family's 1533-position model. The record is from RNAcentral.
GACGAACGCUGGCGGCGUGCUUAACACAUGCAAGUCGAACGGAAAGGCCCUGCUUUUGUGGGGUGCUCGAGUGGCGAACGGGUGAGUAACACGUGAGUAACCUGCCCUUGACUUUGGGAUAACUUCAGGAAACUGGGGCUAAUACCGGAUAGGAGCUCCUGCUGCAUGGUGGGGGUUGGAAAGUUUCGGCGGUUGGGGAUGGACUAGCGGCUUAUCAGCUUGUUGGUGGGGUAGUGGCUUACCAAGGCUUUGACGGGUAGCCGGCCUGGGAGGGUGACCGGCCACAUUGGGACAGAGAUACGGCCCAGAAUCCUACGGGUGGCAUCAGUGGGGAGUAUUGCACAAUGGGCGGAAGCCUGAUGCAGCAACUCCGCGUGCGGGAUGACGGCCUUCGGGUUGUAAACCUCUUUCGCCUGUGACGAAGCGUGAGUGACGGUAAUGGGUAAAGAAGCCCGGGCUAACUACGUG